RNAcentral lists this ribosomal RNA (253 nucleotides) under uncultured bacterium. RNAcentral describes it as "partial 16S ribosomal RNA". It matches the Rfam family "Bacterial small subunit ribosomal RNA", at positions 524 to 776 of the family's 1533-position model. The record is from RNAcentral.
UACGUAGGGUGCAGGCGUUACUCGGAAUUACUGGGCGUAAAGCGUGCGCAGGCGGUCUGCUACGAGAGGUGUGAAAUCCCCGGGCUUAACCUGGGAACUGCGCUUCUAACUGGCAGGCUUGAGUGUGGCAGAGGGGGGUGGAAUUCCACGUGUAGCAGUGAAAUGCGUAGAGAUGUGGAGGAACACCGAUGGCGAAGGCAGCCCCCUGGGCUAACACUGACGCUCAUGCACGAAAGCGUGGGGAGCAAACAGG